Long non-coding RNA from Rhagoletis pomonella (apple maggot), 1276 nucleotides. RefSeq lists it as uncharacterized. NCBI's taxonomy places the organism in Eukaryota, Metazoa, Arthropoda, Insecta, Diptera, Tephritidae. The record is from RefSeq and is a predicted model, not a curated record. The transcript is spliced from 2 exons.
CCGUCGGUCGUUUGGUCGCUUUAUUGGGCGGUCAAUUGGUCUACCGCUUUAGCGCUCACUCAUUCGCCUGUUCGCUUGCUUGUCCGCCGCUGCUGUUUUCGACUCUCACGUCUACGUUUCUCUGUUCGCAUCUCUUUGUGGAUCCACCGUCUGUCCGGCGCGGCGCGGUGUGGCGGUUCGUUUGAGGAGUCAGUGGAACGGUAAUUGUUCACCAUCUUCUGCGCGCACACUGUUUUUCGUACCUUGACAUAAAAAUCUUUCACUUCUUCGCCAGCGCUUUAGUUCAAUUUCGAACGGCUUCAUGUCUGGACACAUUAUUUUAACGACGGAGUUGGCUACGCGACGCGAGUGAACGGUGGAAUCGGUGUAGGCAGCCAGAAGAUAGUGUUCGUACGGAACACGGUGCGCAAAAAAAAAACUUGCUAAAGAGAUUAUUCAACGCGAAAACGUUUUGAUUUUAUUUUACUUUUUGUUUAUUUCAAAAUUUUUGUUUUCUGUCGCACUCGAUUUGUUGCAAAGUCUGGAGCUUGAGGUUUCCACACCUGCGCAGUCGCUGACGCUUGACAUUCAGCAGCGAGCAGACUAAUCGAACGCUUCACUCGUCAGCACCGCUCGUACCGCGUAUGUACGUCGUUGGCCGCGUUUGCAUUAUUCAAUUCAUAAAAAAAAUACAGAAAGUGACCAUCGGCAGCAGUAAAGUAAUACUUUUCAUUAUCACUCAUUGAUAUCAUCGAAGUUGGCAGCGACUUUUUUCACAUUGCCUUUUUAUUUGCUAUCAACAUUUUUGCCACCGACGAUGCCCAACAACAACAUUUUUUGUGCGUUGGCUGUUCGCGUAACGCCUGAAUUUCUGUGCGCGUGCGUGUGAGCGUUUGCAUUGUUGACGUUGACCACUUUGUGCGAGAAAGUGAAAUUAACGGAGAAAUUUUCAGCAUUCCAAAACGAAAAGAACUGUGUGUCUUCUUCGAUAUUCGAGUUAAAGAAUCAGAAAAGUAAGGCGUAGACCAAGCAAAUGAGAAUUAAGACGGCUGAUUCGCGCGAAACGUCAACUCGAAAACUGACGUGCUUUUUUGUUUUAAAUAAAGAAAAAAACCGAAAGCUACACAAGGCCAGUGACCUAAUUACAAAGUUUCUUACUUGUUUAUCAAAGAGUUUUGGUUAACUUUAAAGUAUGCAACAAAAGAAAAAACACAGCAGCCGAGAUAAGCAAAUAUUUUGUGUAACAUAAUUUGCAUAAAAUUUGGUAAUAUUUAAAAAACGAGUGUUGGGAUAAAAA